RNAcentral lists this long non-coding RNA (393 nucleotides) under Manihot esculenta (cassava). RNAcentral describes it as "long non-coding RNA (MESC_LNC004493)". Lineage: Eukaryota; Viridiplantae; Streptophyta; Magnoliopsida; Malpighiales; Euphorbiaceae. The record is from RNAcentral.
GAAAGAAAAGAUAGGGACUAUUUUGUUGAUAAAAAGAAACAAUAAGGAUGUUUUAAUAGAUCUGAGAAAAGAUAGGGACUAUUUCGUUGACAAAAAGAAACAAUAAGGACGUUUUAAUAUAUUUCUAAAAAUAUAGGGAGAGACGAUUUCGUUGACAGAAAGAAACGAUGAUGAGGGACUAUUUCGUUGACUUAAAUAAACAAUAAGGAUGUUUUAAUAGAUGUGAGAAAAGAUAGGGACUAUUUCAUUGAUGGAAAAAAAUAAUAAGGACGUUUUAAUAGAUAUGAAAAAAGAUAAAAAUAUUUUAAUAGAUUUUUGAAAAUGUAAGGACUAACUUGUUAAUAAUUACAAUAUACAAGGACUAAAUAAAUGAUUUUAUUUGAGGGUAAAAUU